Equus caballus (horse) is the source of this 2806-nucleotide non-coding RNA. NCBI's taxonomy places the organism in Eukaryota, Metazoa, Chordata, Mammalia, Perissodactyla, Equidae. The record is from RefSeq and is a predicted model, not a curated record.
CUUAAAAUUAUGUUUAAAGUUAAAAAGUUUUGAAAUCUGGAGACAACUGGAAAUCCACAUGAAAAGGUUUGAGAGUCCUGUUUCCUUUAAUUUGGGCCAGCACACAGUGAGAGCACCCACCUACUGCUGUACUCAGCCUCGUGGCACUGCCCCCACUCUGCUUGUUAUCUAAGACAUGGAUUUGGAACAGUGCUUAGAAUCAGAGACAAUGGAAUGAGCACCUCCCCCUCUUUCUCAGGUUACAUUCCAGACUGGAGGCACUUACCAUCCUCCAAGGUUCAUCUGAGCCAGCCUUUCUACAAUAACACCUGCUUCGGUGCUGAAAGCACUUCCACUAAGGAGGAGAUAUGGGUAAUGUGAGAAAAAGAAACACAGGUUGCUACUUAGCUUCAAGCACUUCUUAUAAAAAACUUUGAACUAUCUACUUGAAUCUGUGGAACUCUAAGAGAUGUGAAUGUUUUCAAAGGCUUCUAGGAGUUGGACAACUUGAUCCUGUAUUACAGAUGGCAAGGAUUAUGAGUCUGAUACCCUCCUGCGUUAUAGCAGGGGAACAAAUCGUUAUCUUCAUAAUUUAUUCCAUGGCUUCUAGUUAGCAUCCCAAGUCUCAGGGAACACAACGGAAAUUGGUGAAGCAGUUAACAAACAUAGCAUCAUCCUCCACCUGUGCUGAAGCAGUAACAAUGGCAGUUGUUCUUGCAUCUUCUCUCAUAGACGCUGUGCAAUGAAGCUUGUGACGUUACACUUUUCCCAGAGUGUAGCUUAUUCAGACAAACUCAAGCUGCUGCCUCAUCAGCGGAACGUUUUGCUUGUGUGAAAUGUGUGCAGCUGUCAGGGAAAACCUUAUCGCCUCUGAAAACUGAGAAACUGGCUGGGAAUGCCUCUGCCACAAUGCUUGGGGUCCUACCUACCCAGCUUCUGGACAAUUGUCUACUCUUCAUCGCUGCCAGCCAGGCAGACUGAGACAGAGACAGACACUUCCGUGGAGGCGCUGACACUGAAUACCUCAUGCUUUUCAGUGAUGAACUUGGAAACCUUCCCAGACUGUACAUCUGCCUUUGCAUAAUAGCUUGUACUUCAGAAAAAGAGGCUUUCAAGGGAGAUAGUGAGAACAACCACAUCUAUUCACAGAGGGAGGGUGACAUUUCUUCCUUCUUUCAGGGACAAGUGCCUGCCUUGUUAAACUCUGCCCCCGUUGUUGUAGCUGCUGGUGAAUGUGUGUAGUCAGGAAGUGCCCACUUGGCACACAAGCCCCGCAGAGGGAAGCCUUGUGAUGGUGCCACAGCCUGGCCAGCUCAUCCAAAGGAGGCUACUUAGGAUGGGUGGAUGGGUCAGAAAGGGAGACCAAGCACCCUUGCGGCAAGGCCAAGGAGACGUUUCCACUCUCAUCUUUCUCAUCAACUUGUAGUAUCUAUUUUUCCUUUUCUGUUUUUGUUUGUUUGUUUGUUUUUCAGUAUGAUGGCCAAGUAGCCAGAUGCCAAUAAGGUUCUUUUGGUACUACCCAAGGAAAUUGAGACAAUGUAUUGUAAUUUUCCUUAGGGAACGGGCAGGGAAUGCACAGGCCCAACUGAUACUUUGUAAAUCUCUUUAAUGGGCUGAUUUAAUGAUUAAAUCUCACAUUUAUAUUCAAAUUUAUAUAAUUUCAGUGUCAAAGAGACAGAGAUACAGAAGAGGAAAUUCUGGUGGGGCGUAGGAAUUCUGGGCACCUGCGUGGGGUCCAAGCUAUUGUUCCUUUGACAAUGAUGGACAUCCUCUGCUGCCCAUAAUGGAAACAGAUGCCAACUCAAUUUCUGCAGGUUAGAAGACCAGAUGGGCUCAGCUGGGGACUCUGCUGAGAGACUUCAAGGCUGAAAUCAAUGUAUUAGCAGGGCUGCGUGUCUACUGGAGGCUCUGAGAAGAAUCCAAUUCCAAACUCAUUCAGGUUGGUGACAGAACUCAGUUUUAAGUGGUUGUAGGACUAACAUCCAGGUUCCCUUGCUGGCUGUUGGCCAGGUGUGGUUCUCAGCUUCUAGAGGCUACCACAUUCCCUCGCUUGUGGUCUCCUUCAUUUUCAAAGACGGCAAUGUGGGUCAAGUCCCUCUCAUGCUUCGAAUCCCUCUGACCCCCUCUUCUGCCUCAUCUCGCUGACCUCUCCUCCCAGCUGAAGCCAGUUCUCUGCUUCUAAUGGCUCAUGUGAUUAACUAGGAAGCACCAGGGCAAUCUGCCUAUUUUAAUGUCCUUAACUGUUAUUAUAUCUGCAAAGUUCCUUUGCCAUGUCAGGUAACAUAUUCACAGGUUCCAGGGAUCAGGGCCUGGACAUCGUUGGGGGCUAGUCUGCUUACUAUGCUGUUAAGAGUUGGCCAUAUCUCUGUCCCAUUAGGUCUUGCUCCUACCAGAUGCAUCCUUUAAUAUCCCCCUGAAGACUCGGGAUAUAUCCCCUAGCCUUUGCUUGCUUCUGUCUAGGAAGCAUACAAUGAUUCUUCUCAGAAAUGGCCUAUUUCCAAGAUCCCCACUCUUACCAAACCCUCACAUCCACACUUAUGCCACUUUAGGCUGCUCCUUCAAUUCUGACAGAUGGUCUCUUCUCUGCUAGUUGCCUGGAUGUCGGAAUAUCUGAUUUUAUCUGUCCUCUGCCCUAUCCUUGUUGGUCGGCAUGGCUUCCAAACUUGUCAGUCCUAACCUGGGGUCUCCAACUACGUCUUUAUGGAAGGUCUCAAGUCUUUCCAUAACUUCUCUGGUUCUGGCCCGAGUUAUUCAUCCUUCACCAUGAGGCACUGUUGUUCUCAUUUUUUUUGAGGAAGAUUAGCCCUGAGCUAACUACUGCCAGUCC